ACCAUUUGAUACCAUCUGUUUCUCACACACAUCCAUGAGGGAAGAAUCAUUCCCAUUUAACAGACAAUGUAACUGGGCCUGAAUAUAGCUCAGCGACUUGCCCCAGGCCCACCAGGAAGUGGAUAAAGCCAUGCUCAACCCAGCACUUCUUCUCUCUACCUUCCACCGAUCCUGCCUGCUCAUCUUCCCUCCUUGGUGAAGGCAUGUGUGCUGUGCUCUGCUUAACUAAUUUCCCUCAGAUAUUCGCAUUUCUGUCUUUACAAUUUGGCAUCCCAGUGAGGUUUCCCUUUGUAUAUUUUCCGGUUCCUAUAUUCCCAUUAUUCAGGUAUCAUCACUCAAUAACCAUUUGACAGCAGUAAUGCUUUUCACAUGGAAAGAAUUGGGUUUUUAUUGAUGGCAAAUGUUGUGAUGAACUUUCAUGCCCACUUGGAGCCGGAGCACUUUUUUAUAGAAUGAACCACAAUGAGAAGCGUUUCCAAGAAAUGUCUUUGGAGUGUGGACUGAGAUGUACGUUUAGGAACAGGUCCUGUGGCCAGAGUGGGGAGAGAGGGGGCUUCCCAUUGUCAAAAUCUCAUCAAUCAAAAUGUAUAAUAGCAACAUUAUUAAUAACCCUAUAGUUGCAUUGCACUUGGUGCUCUUCCAAGCACUUCCCUAGAAUCCUAAAAUGAAGGCAGGGCAGAUAUUAUAUCCAUGUUACAGGUUAAACAACAUUGUAACAGGACUGAUAACACCAUGAAUGAGAAGUCAUUUGAUCAAUGGCCAAGGCAAUCCCCCCAGCCUGAGCUACUUCCCAGACCAGACCACAGAAGCAAGGCCAUGCUCACCGAGGACCCCACUUGUGGACUAGACUUCUGUCCUGCUGUGGCCUCAAAAGCAAUAGCCAGGGCCCCAUGAUGAAGCUGCCAUCAGAAGCACAGGUGUGCCUGGCAAGGACACAGGAGGACCACGGCUCCAUGCCGAUGAGAAUGGCAGCUAAGUCUGAAGCUUUCUAUGAUUUAGAUUCCUGGUUGCGAGAGGGAGCCUAUAGGAAUGGCGAGAAGAGUGAGAACUUUGCAGAGGCAGCAAGCUAGGAUUUUCUCUUUGGGUCACCGCGUGUUCUUUGGGGUCAUAUAAAGUACUCUGCUCAAGAACAAAGGCCAGUGUGGCUAUGAUGAAAAUGCAUUGACAGAGGGGCUUCAAUGUCUAUGGAACAGAAACAAGAGCCCUGGACCAAGAGGAGGAAAUGUGGAUUCACCAACAUGUUGAAAAUCAUUCUAACAUCUCCAGGCCUCAGCGUGGUCAUUCACAAAUGGAAUUCAACAAUUUCUAAGGCAACUUUUCUAACAUUUUGGAGAUAAAAAAUUUAAUGUUUAGUCCCUGUAACUAGCUUUGACAAAGAGAACACAGUGGAAGUGAUCCUGCCCACCCCUUUUCCAAGGUAGACCUUAAAAGACCUGUAGCUUCCACUAUUGUGCCUCCUAGAAGCCUGUACCAUGUAAGAAUUCUAACUACCAUGGGAACAUCAUGCUGUGAGGAAGCCCAAGCUAGCCAUUUGGGAGAGAGGAAGGCCACGUAGAGAAGCACCAAGAAACUAGACAUGUUUGUGAAGCCUACUUGAACUUUCCAGCCCAACUCCAGCUGAAUGCAUCCAAGUGAAUGGCCCCAGCUGAUCCCCUGUGGAGCAGAACCACCCUGCUGACUCCUGACUGAAUCCCUGAUCCACAGAAUUUGGCUAUGGGCUCAGAUCCUCUCUUACUUCAAGGGAUCUGGGCUGGAUGCUUGGGCGCGAGAGAGAAGAAUGGCUCUCAACUGGGCGGGGAAGAGUAGCCCGCAAGGAGGCAGCGGCUCCAGGAUGGGAAGUGAGGAUGCCAAAAAAGCAUCCCUAGGAAGGUUCCUGCCUUUCCACGAGGCUAUGGGGCUUUGAAGGUGGCUAGGACAUCAUGUUAAUGAAGUCAAGACUAUGGCCCCAUCUCUAGAGGCCAAAGCUUGAAACAGCAAAUAGAAAGACCUUUCCAAGCCACUACCCUUAGCAUUGAUGGCAAGGGUCUGGGUGAGAAAAUCCCUCUUGUCCACUAAACGGAAAUCAACUUGAAGCAUGUUGCCAACAGAUAUAUCAGCUUUCUCCAGGAAGAAAUGGCACUGAUGCUCCUAGACUGGAUUUCUCAUCCUCUAAGUCAGGCCUGGCCUUGGAAGCAAAGCCCCCAGGAAUGACUGGAAGACAACACUCUGCAGACCCCUUCCACAGGGUACCCCUGCUCUCCAGGAAGGGCCUUCAGGGCAGCAUUUGGAGGUGGCAUGAGCUAGCAGCGGCGUGCAGCCUGGUCACUGUCUGAUCUGGUCAGCCCAGCCGCACAGAACACCACACAGGCUCUGGCAGCUCCCUGGGAAAGAAGAAAGCAGCAUCUUGCAUGUGUGGCUUAUUCUGAAAGGAAUAGUAUCUGAGGGAUUUGAUGGACUCUGACAGGGGGAAGAAGGUAGUGAAAAAGAUGGAACAAAGAUGCCAUUUAAAAAUACUGGCUCGUGUUCAGGAUUUCGCUAUUUUUUACUGCAAGGAACAAGUAAAAAAAAAAAUCCUCCUAUUGAUGAGUAUUUUUCUACAGUCAUUAAAAGUCAAAGGACUCAGGGCUUCCGACUUUCCCUCUUGGGAAACCUGUAAGCUCGUCUUCUGGACAGCUUAGAAAAGGGCUGGAUGGCGAAGGCGAGAGGCUUAAAGGCCCCCAGCAAGCAGCUCCGCCGAGGAACGGGUGCAGGGGACACACUGUGUUUUCAGUUCAGAUUCUGUGAUCUUUCUGCCAAACAGGGGUUUACAAAGCAAAAACCUCCAGAGAAUUCUCAUACUUUCUGGCUUAUUCUCCUGGUGUUCGUCUUAACAGGAAUCAGCUGUUUGCCUUCUCACUUAUACAGCAUGUUGCUGAGGCGAAUUUAGCAUCUGGCCUGGCUAUUAUUAAAAACAAGAACAUCCUGCUCUGUUGGGAGAACAGCACCACUGGCAAUAAAAGGACAGAGAUCAUUUGCAUUCAGGAUUCCAGAGAUGUGUUUCAGUUCAAUAUCUGCGCUCCCUCCUUCCACCCCUGCUUUCAUUUUAAGAUUUCCUGAUGCAUCCAUCACUUGCAGCGUGGUCAACUUUUUUUCUGAAACAGGCACACACAGGCAGAGCAUAUUUUUUCCUUUCACUGGGAGGCAGGAAUGACUGGAGUUGUUCAAACACCGGUCCGUUCCUGCAAUUCCUAUGAUAAAGUUGAACUACCAGAGGAAUUUUUUUUUUUUUUUUUACAACUGCGGAAAUGAAAAAGUAAACAAGACUGGGACUGCAUUGGUAUUUAGGCUCCAGCUUUUUGUUGUUGUUUUUGUCUUUCCCUUUUUUUAAGCCAUUGGGCUAGGAGCCUGAAGGGACCAUAUAAUAUGAAAAACGCUGAGAGGUUUUAUUAGCCAAUAAAAAAAAAAACUGAGUUCCUAUUAACCACUUAACUCCUUGCUGAAGUUCAAACUUGCUUUCUCCUUGGAUCCUUCUCUCCCUCUCAUGCCCACGAGGAAUGACGGUUGGUUCACCAAUCUUUCCCUGCACAACCUGAGCUCACAGUUUGUGCUCCAGAAGGUGUGGUUGAGAAUCGUAUUCAAUAAUAAUCUCUGUAUUUCUCAUCUGUGAAGCCAUAAAUAAGAUUUCUGUAAGGAGCCAAAUGUUCUACGCCCCCAAAUCUACACACACAAAGACUCUUUAAGCACUCUACUAAAAAAGAGUAAAGUCAUUGUGAUUUCUAGGAUUUUAAAUACUAAAUGAUGGUUAGGGAGAACAAAAUCAGGCUGAAGCAUUUCUGGGAUAAAUAAUGAUCCCACAAAACGCUCCUCUCAUUUGGGGGCAGAAGAAUGAAGGGAAACUCACAGAGAAACAGAAAAUGAAAUUGGUCCAACUAUUUCACUGCUGGAGAUAGAUGGAGUUAGGAUACAUAGGUGACUUGGUUUAGGAAAGAGAGGAUGUCGAAGGUGAUUUAAAUCCUAACACUGUUUUAUUAAUCGUGCCACAAUUCUACAUGUCAUGUGAUUUUGUUAUCUGCUUUUUGCUGCUUUUAAAUAAAUUUGUACUUUUCUAUCAAUCCAUCAUCCAAUUGUGUUUCGGGUGUUCUUGGCAUUCCCAUCUCUCAAAAACACCCUUAGUUUCUGCCA
Molecule: long non-coding RNA, 4140 nt
Filed under: Homo sapiens (human)
Lineage: Eukaryota; Metazoa; Chordata; Mammalia; Primates; Hominidae
Description: HSALNT0334444
Source: RNAcentral